Molecule: ribosomal RNA, 468 nt
Filed under: uncultured bacterium
Lineage: Bacteria
Description: partial 16S ribosomal RNA
Rfam family: Bacterial small subunit ribosomal RNA
Source: RNAcentral
GACGAACGCUGGCGGCGUGCUUAACACAUGCAAGUCGAACGGAAAGGCCCUGCUUUUGUGGGGUGCUCGAGUGGCGAACGGGUGAGUAACACGUGAGUAACCUGCCCUUGACUUUGGGAUAACUUCAGGAAACUGGGGCUAAUACCGGAUAGGAGCUCCUGCUGCAUGGUGGGGGUUGGAAAGUUUCGGCGGUUGGGGAUGGACUCGCGGCUUAUCAGCUUGUUGGUGGGGUAGUGGCUUACCAAGGCUUUGACGGGUAGCCGGCCUGAGAGGGUGACCGGCCACAUUGGGACUGAGAUACGGUCCAGACUCCUACGGGAGGCAGCAGUGGGGAAUAUUGCACAAUGGGCGGAAGCCUGAUGCAGCAACGCCGCGUGCGGGAUGACGGCCUUCGGGUCGUAAACCGCUUUCGCCUGUGACGAAGCGUGAGUGACGGUAAUGGGUAAAGAAGCACCGGCUAACUACGUG